Molecule: non-coding RNA, 6092 nt
Organism: Monodelphis domestica (gray short-tailed opossum)
Lineage: Eukaryota; Metazoa; Chordata; Mammalia; Didelphimorphia; Didelphidae
Source: RefSeq, a predicted model, not a curated record
AUCAUCAUUAUUGUCUUCCUCCUGUAAAAAAUAGACUCGAAUACAGGACUACAAUCCCCAUGAGCCUUUGCUCCACUUCCCCAGAAUGCCUUGUAAUCUCACCUGGGCCGAGAUCGAGAAGAUAUUUAAGCAAAGGCUUUUGAAGGGCUCGGGGCUUUUGGACUUCCGUUUUUGGAGCAGAGGCGUCUCUUCCAUGAUGUGAGGUUAUUUUGUCUAGGCCUUUGGCCUAGGCACAUGUUUCUUACUUGUAUAUUCUUAAUCUUUAACUUUAAUAAACCUCUAAAAAAUAUAAUACUCCUUGUAGAGAGAAACUAAUUUCUACCUGCCUCAGAUGCCUCAGUCUCCCCCUCUCCCCUAAAUUUUAAUCAUUACAGUUAUGGCGACCUAAUGGGAAAAAAACUCAGUCUUCUGAUUUCUUUUCUGAUCUUAAAUUCAAUUUUAAUAGCUAGUACCUAGAAAUUUUUUUUUUGAGCCAUAUCUCACUGGCCAAGGUUUUCUACCCUCGCAAAGCUGCUACAGGCUCCGGACCUGCUGCCCACCCCACCUGGCUCGGUACCGCCGCUUCCUGCCUCAGCCUGCAGCCCUGAUUGUCCUCACCUGGUACCUGGUCCCGGCCUUGCCCACCCCCGCAGCCGCUCCAGCUCCAGCUCCUGGCCUCUCACCGGCCCGCUGCCUGCCUAUUUCUGCGCCUAAGACCCUCGAGCGUGACCCCAGCCGGCUUAUCACCCAGAUCCUUGGAGCAGAUCGCUCAGGACUCAUUGCGACCAGCUGGUAACAGUAUUGGCCACGUGGGCGGAGGGGAGAGACCAGAGGGAAAGGAGACCGGGCAAUUUUCCCUUAGGCUAAGCCUCCACGUGGCUGGCGGUAUUGGCCACAGGGGUAUCAGAGAGGGGAAAGACAGAAAAGACUAAAGAGAAGAAACAGAUCUUUUCAAACAGAAACUUAAUAGCAAUGGGCUGUUUAAAAGGAUUUUUGACUCUUCUGGCAGUUUCAUUGAUUUUACCUGCCUGUCAGGGAGCAGACUCAACCCAAAGAUUCAACUUUAACUUUGGGGAGGAAAAUGGGUGGCCCAGCGAACUGGAAGCCAGGCCCAGAGACGGGAGGUCUCUAGUUAAAAUCUGGCCUCAGAUACUCCCCAGCUAUGGGGCCCUGGACGGAUCCCUUGAACCCCGUAGCCUAGCCUUUACUACUCUACCUUCGGACAAUAGACAUUUAAAUGGAUAAAUAAAAACAAACAAACAAAAAAAAACCCCAAGGAACUUUGAAGAGGCUAAAGGCUAUAUUCUAAGGCAUUUCAGACUCUAAUGGUUUAUAAAAUUAUCUGUAUUCUAUUGCAUUUUUUGUUUAAGAUAUAACUUUGUGAUUUUAAGUUCAUAUAUUACUGGAUUGAAUAUUAUUCUGUGAACUGAAGGUUGAUUGAAUUUAUUUUGAAUGUACUGAGUUUUGAAAUUCUGUUGUUUUCCCCCUAUAACUGUGUUGAAAAAAUAUUAUUGUGAAUAAGCCCAUAUAUGAAAAAACAGCUUUUUUCUAUUUUGCUGAGGAUAGAUGGACUUCAGAACUGGUUAUAAUUGUAUUAACAACCUUUGAAAAUUUAAUGUGCUAAAUACCUCAAAUGAUUUGAUUUUAAGGGUUUUUUAAAUAUGAUUUUGGAAUUUUUUUUAACAAUCUGGUUAUUUUGCCUGCCCCUGCCACGAGGUAAGGCCCAUUCUAGUAGCUGAAGUGAAAUGUAUUUUAUAACCCCCAACCUUCCCACGUGUGAAUGGAAGUUGGGCAGUUAAUUUCAGGGCAUUUGUACCCUUGGGAAAAGCCUCCAAGAACAAGGAGCACCCCUUUAUUUAUGCUCUUCAGCUCACUAUUUUACUUCUACCAGGAUGAUAUAUAGAUUUCUUGAUUAUGUUCUAAACCCAAGAUGAGUUUUACUUUGUUUUAAAAUAUGUUUAAAUACCAAGGUUGAAGGAUUGCUCUGUUUGUAAAAAUUGUGACAAAUGUCCAUCAAUUCAUAGGUUUUAAAAAUGUCAUACAGCAACUUAUGUGAAAUAUGAAAGUGUGUUUGUUUGCUAUUGUAAUUAAUUGGGCUAUUGAGAAUUUUGGGGAUAUUGAUACUACAUAUUUGUACUACUGUAUUUUUAAAGAUGAAAAAUUGUUAACCUUGUUCAAUUCAUUUGCCUUCUACUCACAGUGAUCAUGGCCAGAUACAAAGAGGAAAUGGAUCUCAUUUUUUGGUGAGAAAACCUUGCAUUUUAUAUUUUCUUAACUGACACAGAGUGUCAAUGGUUAUAAGCUAUAUUUUUGAAUUUUUUAAAGCUCUUUUUUUAUUAUAUUUUUCUUGCAUGUGCAAUAUACUUUUUCAGUUUUUUUUAUUAUUUUUUCUCUCCUUUUUAUAUUUGAAGCACAUGUCACCAGUAUUAAGAUUUUCUUUAACUUUUUGACUUUUCAGUGCUACAAGUUUGAAAUACAUUUGCUAAUGCAUGCCCUAGAAAGCUUGUGACUAUAAAAAUUAUGCCACUAAUUAUUUAAAUAAAUUAUGGGACUUUGCUUAAUGAUUCUGUCUGAUUCUAGGACAAGAUAUACACAAAAGAGCCACUGCAUAGUGCCAAUAGAGCAUAAGGUCAAAGAGACCAACUAAUCCUGGAGAAAUUGACGUCACUUUGAGCCUAGACAAAGAGGACUUGAACGUGUUUGGGGUUCGAGGUUGCGGCUGUUUAACAUGUGUUAAAAGCAGGUCUUCCUUGUUCCACAUUCUACCAAGUACCUCAAACUUGGCUCCCGGAACCUUGGCUUAUAUACUCUAGUCCCCUUUUCUGCCUCUCAUAGUGUGGUACCUUUCUGUAGUCCUGGCACUGACUGGGUAAAUGCAUCAUUACUUAGAUCAUUUUGAUUGGGCCCUGAUUGAAGGACCUGUUAUAGAUUUAUUUUUCUUCUACUUUGAAUUUUUACACAUAAGACUUUGAUAGUCUAUAUUUUCAUCCAGAAAUUUUUCUUUUCUUUUGGAUUUUCUGAUGUCUUUUUAAUAUCUCUUGCCAAUUGAUUCAUAUACCUCAUACCUCAGCCAUGCAUCCCUAACUGAUUCUGAAUCUUUCAAUCACCCACAACACGGGGGAAUGUAAAAAAUAUCAUUAUUCAAAUUGCAAAGUUUAAAUUCUUUUUGAGAAGAAUUUUAGGUAAAGAAGAUGCUACCUCUCUGAAUCCAGAACUGAACUGUUGGAGAAGCCACCAUGAAGAAGCCUCCAGACCACAAGUUGCACAAAAUUGAACUUUGGGUGUGGUUGAUUGAACAUUUAUUUGUAUGUAUACUUUUAUGCCAAAGGGGACUGUCCCCUAACGGCUUUUUGUCAAUGUGUUCAGAAAUUAUUGGUUUUAUUCUUUUUUCUCUUAUCCUCACACUAUUGUAAUCUUUUAAGUUUAUUAUGUUUUUAUGAUCCUUUUGGGGAAAAAUUAAUUUUUCCACAAAUGAUCACACGGGGGGGAUGUAAAAAAUAGACUCGAAUACAGGACUACAAUCCCCAUGAGCCUUUGCUCCACUUCCCCAGAAUGCCUUGUAAUCUCACCUGGGCCGAGAUCGAGAAGAUAUUUAAGCAAAGGCUUUUGAAGGGCUCGGGGCUUUUGGACUUCCGUUUUUGGAGCAGAGGCGUCUCUUCCAUGAUGUGAGGUUAUUUUGUCUAGGCCUUUGGCCUAGGCACAUGUUUCUUACUUGUAUAUUCUUAAUCUUUAACUUUAAUAAACCUCUAAAAAAUAUAAUACUCCUUGUAGAGAGAAACUAAUUUCUACCUGCCUCAGAUGCCUCAGUCUCCCCCUCUCCCCUAAAUUUUAAUCAUUACACUCCUCUUCCUCCUCCUUCUCCUCCUUCCUUUUCUCCCUCCCUUCUCCUUCCUUGAUGUCAGAAAUAUGAUUUUUGGGGAGUGGGGUUUGGAGGAAAAUUGAAGAGAUCUGGAGAAAGUAGUUAAACUGCCAUUGUGCUAGUCAUGUGACCUGUACACUUUUCUGUUUUCAAGAUAAUUCUGGAAUUAUCUCUCAACUCUUGCCUGCCCAUCCCUCCAUGGCCAAGAGGUCAAAGACAACAAUCUAUUAGACCUUAUCUGGUGGCCUGAAGUCUCAGAACCAGCCCUGAUUUUGCCUGAACAUAAUAGAAAUCUUCAUUUUGGUUACAAGUAGGACCUUUAGCAUCCUCCUCCAGAGAGAAUUCCAGCAUGUUCAGCUUGGCACUACCCAAGAGGAUGGUCUGCUAUUGGAAGAGAAUCAUGCUUCUGAUGAUUUUAGCAUUUUCUGGGGUGUAUUUUGGGUCAGUCUCAGCCCUGGUAUGCCAUCAUUGCGACUUAAGUGUGGAUUGUGUCAACCCAGAAACCUGUAAUGAAGGACAAUUUGUCUGUAUCUUGGACUUAAUUAAAGUUCCAAACUAUACCUCAGUUCAAAAGAUAUGCUUCUCAAGUUGUAAGGACUACCUUUUAUUAGAGAAUCCACAAAAAAAAGGCCGCAUUUCAAGCAAAAGCAAUGAAUCCCAUUGGCUCGAUCAACACAAUCUGCGUGCUGACUACCAUCAUCAUAAUGAAGUUGGAGUACACAAAGAAAAGGUCUCCCUGGAGCAUCUCAUUGUGUGCUGUGACAAAGACCUGUGUAACCAGGCCAGGAUCAGGAGUCCAGAAGGCUUAAUUCUUCUCUUUGGGCUCCUACUCAACUUCCUCCCCUCUUCAAUUCUGUGACAUUGUUAGACCCUUCUAAGACAAUUUUCUCAUAUUAAGAUCUCAUAGAAUAUUCAUAGUAAUUAAAAGUAAGUCGAAUUGACUUAUGCUGGACUUACACUCCGAUUUUGGUUUCUAAAUGUAUUUCUGGAAGGUUUAUCAGAGGACUUACCUGCUCAACUUGCCGAGCUGACAGAUUGGUCUUGUUUACCCUCUGAUUGUAUAUCAUCAGCUGGGGAUGAAUUGGUUGGCUCAGUAAGUCCUCUGGGCUAGAGCAGUUUGAUCCUUAAUGCUAGACCCCUAAAAGAGAGUCUAUGGGGCAGAUUUAUCUCUCCAUUUCCCCUUUUACAACAUAUAUGUCAGUACUCCUUGGUCUCUGGAGUGUAUACAACUGCACAUUAGCAGAGACUCCCCUUCAGGAACUGACCAACCAGCCAUCCUGCCAUCAGCCCUAGAAAUGACCAACUCGACUUUGAGCUAUAGUCAAGUGAGUCCAGAUGCUUAGUUCCUGGUCUGAAUGAAUCCCUGGAUUCAGCCCUAGAGGCUCAAGCAGAUGCCCUCUGCAACUAGAAGUUCAGCAAUGGACUAAAGCCACAACAUUGAGGGGAAACAUUUUUCAAGUUUUAUCCUCUGCUACCGCUGUGAAACAAUUUGGAUGGUGCAAUUCAAUUAGGAAGGGGAUUGCUGAGUCUGGAAUGUCUAUUCCUUCAAGGUAGUACCAUAAGCUUAGAUGCCACAAUUAGUGAAACUGAGGCAAACAGAAGGGAAGCGAAUUGCCUGUGGACACAUAGCUAGAAAGGUUCCAGAAUGUCUGAGACUGGAUUUGAACUCAGAUCUUCCUGACUUCAAGCCCAGCUCUUAACAAUCUAACUGCCUAGUUGAAAGUUCAUAAAUCCAGUACUUAUAAGAGCCGGAUCCCAAAUAACUAGGGGGGGGGGACCAUAAAUAUAAAACUAACAAAAGUAAAGAAAGGGGGAGAGGAAAAACCUUAAUUUCUUCUCUCAGAGGCAAAGUCUAAUCCCAUAUGAGCUCCCAGAACAUGAAGAGCUUUCCCAACAUAAAUUGGGGACUUGGAGUAGAAUGGAAGUCACCACCUCAUUAUCAGGUGAAAAGUUAAAAUGUCCUUGGGGGGGGAUUCUUCCUAUCAAAACCUUCAGCAGGGAAGACAAACCACACAUUAACCCCUUACCACCCCCCCAAAAAUCUUCUGCCAAUGCAUAUAGAAAUCCAAAAGGAAAUCCAAGUGAAAUGUCUUCUUGGGCCCCUGCAACACAGAAGAAAGUUAAUUUUUCUCCAGUAGAUCCCUAAAAAGUCAUCAUGAAUUAUAAGUGGAGAUUUGAACCCACAAGUGAUAGAACAACCUGUUUAGAUCCAAAAAGCAAGCAAGCAAACAAGCACAGAUGAGUCUCAAAGACU